GACGAACGCUGGCGGCGUGCUUAACACAUGCAAGUCGAACGGAAAGGCCCUGCUGUUGUGGGGUGCUCGAGUGGCGAGCGGGUGAGUAACACGUGAGUAACCUGCCCUUGACUUUGGGAUAACUUCAGGUAACUGGGGCUAAUACCGGAUAGGAGCUCCUGCUGCAUGGUGGGGGUUGGAAAUUUUCGGCGGUUGGGGAUGGACUCGCGGCUUAUCAGCUUGUUGGUGGGGUAGUGGCUUACCAAGGCUUUGACGGGUAGCCGGCCUGAGAGGGUGACCGGCCACAUUGGGACUGAGAGAGGGCCCAGACUCCUACGGGAGGCAGCAGGGGGGAAUAUUGCACAAUGGGCGGAAGCCUGAUGCAGCAACGCCGGGUGCGUGAUGAAGGCCUUCGGGUUGGAAACCGCUUUCGCCUGUGACGAAGCGUGAGUGACGGUAAUGGGUAAAGAAGCACCGGCUAACUACGUG
RNAcentral lists this ribosomal RNA (468 nucleotides) under uncultured bacterium. RNAcentral's name for it is "partial 16S ribosomal RNA". It matches the Rfam family "Bacterial small subunit ribosomal RNA", at positions 28 to 507 of the family's 1533-position model. The record is from RNAcentral.